This 496-nucleotide ribosomal RNA is filed under the name uncultured bacterium. RNAcentral's name for it is "partial 16S ribosomal RNA". It matches the Rfam family "Bacterial small subunit ribosomal RNA", at positions 28 to 506 of the family's 1533-position model. The record is from RNAcentral.
GAUGAACGCUGGCGGCGUGCCUAAUACAUGCCAGUCGAGCGAACGGACGAGAAGCUUGCUUCUCUGAUGUUAGCGGCGGACGGGUGAGUAACACGUGGAUAACCUACCUAUAAGACUGGGAUAACUUCGGGAAACCGGAGCUAAUACCGGAUAAUAUUUUGAACCGCAUGGUUCAAAAGUGAAAGACGGUCUUGCUGUCACUUAUAGAUGGAUCCGCGCUGCAUUAGCUAGUUGGUAAGGUAACGGCUUACCAAGGCAACGAUGCAUAGCCGACCUGAGAGGGUGAUCGGCCACACUGGAACUGAGACACGGUCCAGACUCCUACGGGAGGCAGCAGUAGGGAAUCUUCCGCAAUGGGCGAAAGCCUGACGGAGCAACGCCGCGUGAGUGAUGAAGGUCUUCGGAUCGUAAAACUCUGUUAUUAGGGAAGAACAGAUGUGUAAGUAACUGUGCACAUCUUGACGGUACCUAAGCAGAAAGCCACGGCUAACUACGU